GAUGAACGCUAGCGGCAGGCUUAACACAUGCAAGUCGAGGGGUAUAGGGAGCUUGCUUCCUAGAGACCGGCGCACGGGUGCGUAACGCGUAUACAAUCUACCUUUUACAGAGGGAUAGCCCCAGAGAAAUUUGGAUUAAUACCUCAUAGUAUUUUCGGAUCGCAUGAUUUGAUUAUUAAAGUUCCAAACGGUAAAAGAUGAGUAUGCGUCCAUUAGCUAGAUGGUAAGGUAACGGCUUACCAUGGCAAUGAUGGGUAGGGGUCCUGAGAGGGAGAUCCCCCACACUGGUACUGAGACACGGACCAGACUCCUACGGGAGCAGCAGUGA
Molecule: ribosomal RNA, 328 nt
Filed under: uncultured bacterium
Lineage: Bacteria
Description: bacterial SSU rRNA
Rfam family: Bacterial small subunit ribosomal RNA
Source: RNAcentral